ACGGAGAGAUUCAUCGUCACUCCGCGGCGUACGUGUGCGUAUUUAGAUGUGAUCCGACAAAAACCCGCCGUGUCGCACUAUACGUCGCACGCUCACGUCCGCGGACGGCGUGCACUUCUCUUUUAGUAAUGCAUCGCGACCCGUUCGAUGUCGGUCUAAGUGCCGUUCGGGAGCCCAAUCGUCCCCCUCGGGGGGCGGCUGGACCGCGACGGUCGCCGACCGGCCGUCGGACGGUAUCAACUUGUGAAUCGCGCACGCGUCUUCGUCGCGUCCGACCCGACGCAAGGUUCGCGGCGUUAUCGGGGCCCUGUCUGUGUACGGAUCCCUUUGCGUCGCGCCUGUCGUCGCAGCCGUGUUGUCUCGGACUGUGCGCGUCUCUAUCUGCGAUGAUUCAGUUUCGGGCACUCGCAGGACCCGUCUUGAAACACGGACCAAGGAGUCUAGCAUGUGUGCGAGUCAUUGAGAUUUUUCAAACUGAAAGGCACAACGAAAGUGAAGGCGCGCGCUCGCCGCGCGCUCAGGGAGGAUGGAGCGUCGGUCUAGGUCGACCUCUCGCACUCCCGAGGCGUCUCGUUUCCAAUCCGCGAAUGUAGGCGCGCUCUGAGCGCAGAUGCU
RNAcentral lists this ribosomal RNA (615 nucleotides) under Sclerocona acutella. RNAcentral describes it as "LSU rRNA". It matches the Rfam family "Eukaryotic large subunit ribosomal RNA", at positions 533 to 810 of the family's 3401-position model. The record is from RNAcentral. Lineage: Eukaryota; Metazoa; Arthropoda; Insecta; Lepidoptera; Crambidae.